RNAcentral lists this ribosomal RNA (207 nucleotides) under uncultured bacterium. RNAcentral's name for it is "partial 16S ribosomal RNA". It matches the Rfam family "Bacterial small subunit ribosomal RNA", at positions 568 to 773 of the family's 1533-position model. The record is from RNAcentral.
UGCGUAGGUGGUUUCUUAAGUCAGAGGUGAAAGGCUACGGCUCAACCGUAGUAAGCCUUUGAAACUGGGAAACUUGAGUGCAGGAGAGGAGAGUGGAAUUCCUAGUGUAGCGGUGAAAUGCGUAGAUAUUGGGAGGAACACCAGUGGCGAAGGCGACUUGCUGGACUGCAACUGACGUUGAGAUGCGAAAGCUAGGGGAAGGCAAAC